Diospyros lotus (date-plum) is the source of this 9140-nucleotide long non-coding RNA. RefSeq lists it as uncharacterized. NCBI's taxonomy places the organism in Eukaryota, Viridiplantae, Streptophyta, Magnoliopsida, Ericales, Ebenaceae. The record is from RefSeq and is a predicted model, not a curated record. The transcript is spliced from 4 exons.
AAAUAUUUGUCACUUUUAUAUUUACAAUUAUAUUAGGGAUCGAAAUUUGUCUGUCGAAUUAUUUAAUUUACUUAUUUUGUUCAAAUCAUGUGUUCGAGUAGUGUGAGUGUGAGUGACGACUAGUAAUUGAAAAAAAAAAAAUAAAGAAAGAAAGAAGAGGGAAAGAGAGGCGCCGACUCCGACAGGGUACAAAAAAAAAUUGAAAAUAAUUCUGGAAAUUCGAUACAGAGAGGAUAUUUUGUUUUUGUUGUUCGCACCGUCGAUUAUCAAGUUGUACCGUUUGAUUUUGAAAUCACCGGCCGUGGGUCGACGGACGGUGACCGGGAUCCAAUUUCACCUUUCGACUGUAGUCUAGUUCUAUCUGGGCAAGCGAUUGGUUUCGAAAUUGAAGGGUUUGGAGAGAUUGGUUUUCGCGGGAAGAAGGCGGCGAAGAGAUCGUAGGCCAGGUUUCUUUUUAUUGCUUCUCUGUUUAGCUGUACCGGAUUUAAUGCUUUGUAUUUCGCAUGCAACCCGUUCAAAUUUUUCCUUUUUUUUUUAGAGAAUUUUUGGUUUUCUAGGUUUGUUUUCCUGGUUUCAGAAACAGAAACAACGGAAACUUUAGGGAAAACAAUAUUUGAUUCACCAUUAACAGGGGGGAAAUUGAAUAUGUUGAUUCGUGGAACGCUUAUUUUAUUGAAGGAUCAACAAGUGCACUUAGUCCUUGAAGAACAAUUUAGUUGUAGUAUAGGAACAUUAUUGCAAUAUACCCUAUGUUGUGCUACAGUUCCUGUUCCCCAGUGCACGAGACUCCUUUCUUUGCAAGGUUCGGGCAGUGUCGUAUUUGUAUGUAGCUUUUUUCUCUUGUUUUUUGGCAAAGAGGUUGUUUCCAUUUUGGCAGUAACAUUUUUUUUUUCGCUACAGUUGCCUGUAUUUGGAUAAAAUAGCCUCCAAAGUUGUUGUCUAGCUUAGCUUGUGAAGCUUCCUCCACCAGGACAUUCCCUAUCCAAAGUUAAAAGGUAAACAGAUAACGGGUGUUAGUGAUUGGUUGUUGGAUAUUUUUUGCCACAGUUAGCUUUUUUAAGUGAAUAAUUCGUAGGCAGUUGAAUAACAUGUACAUCAAUCUACUUUAAUUUUAAAUGGAAUGUAAAUGACCUGAAAAUAGUGAAUAAUGUUAGACGUGGAUUCUUGUUUCUUCCUGUAGAUGACGAGUAAGACUUGGUUGAGAUAGUUUAGAACUUUUGCAAAAGCAACAGUCUUGGUACUGCCAAGCAGGAAAAUUGAUUAUCUCCAUUCCGCCACUGGUAUUGCACGGAGUAGAGUACUUGGUUGGUUACGAAAUCUCUCUAGUGUAGUCAAACUAGGAUAAAUUACUGAAUAGGCGAGGUGUCCUAAAUAGAUUGAGGCAAGUGCUUCGUACAAAAUUCUUGGUAGGACCAGAAUGUGGAAACUUGAAGAUACAGUUGAGUUUACAUAAUAAUUACAACUGAUUGCAUUAGUUUCGGGACAACUUGUCCAAGUAGAAGAUUUCAGGUCAUGGAAUAGAAAGAAUGAUGAGUUCAAGUUGGGAGAAAAACCUACUUUGUGAAAAUAAAUAUGCAGCACUAGACAGGGUGCAGGCUUUGGGUUGAGGAAGACUUCGGAGUCUUUGAAACCCAUCUGGCUCCUUGGUAUCCGGAUAUCUCAUAACCAAGAUGUUGGGGGCUGACACAAUUAUUUGUGAUUGCAUCGUGUCUUAGUUCAUGGUAGUUGUUCUCCCAAAAUAUUCACCCUUGGAACUGGAACAUUCCUCACAUAAAUGUUUAUGCUGAAGAGUCAUGAUUUAGGAUAACUUUUUUUAAGCUCACUCACUCUCUGAAAUUAACAUUACUCAUUCAACAUAGAACAACAAUUUUAUAGAAGACAAGUUGACUUCAAAGGAAAAACUAUUGACACUUACUAUAGGCAUUAUUCGGUUUCUACGCAUACUACUGAUUCCCAAUAACUUCCUUAAUAACUUACGCUCUAGCAUUCUAAUAGGUACACUCAUCACACCACUGCUGCUCUUACCUGGUUCCCUCAUCCAUCAUGCUACUUUUAAGCCCACUGCAUAUGUUUACUCUUCUCGGCGGCUUGAGUUGUUCAUGUAAAGCUCUAAUUGGAGACAAAUGUCCCAACAUACCCAAAUCCGACUAUGAAGAAAGCUCCAGCUUGCAGCAAAAGAUAUAUGAAGAAAUGAUCUUUACCAAAGAGUAGAUCAUAGAUCGCGCAAUGCAGCAUAAACAUGCCCAUUAGAAUCUCCAGGACAUGGAUCCUGUUUCAGAAUUAUAAAUAUCAAAAUUAUGCAUUAGAAGAUUCAACAAGGUAUUAUUGUCAUAUUCCAGAGACUAGAGAAUAACAUGCUUCUUGCUUUAAUGACGAGUUCUUUUUUGGCUGAAUGAAUACUCAAGUGAAUGAUAGUGAUGUAUGUUUGGCAAGUAAUACCUUUCUCCGAUUCGUGAUCGUGGUUUCUUUGAUGCUUUGGCAUUGCCCUUAUGCUUGCUGGUGUUCCCUAGCUUCUCAGUUACAACCCAUUCAUUGACUCGGUUGGCUUCUAGAAGUCCUAUAAUUGCUGCCUUAGAUCGAUGUAGAGACAUUACAUUCUCAAACAGGAUCCAGAAGACAAGAAGAUGCAAAGACCUAUAUCUCAAUGAGCAAGCAAUCUCCCAUAAACAAAUGUUAUUUUGUGAAAUAUAUAGGGAUGUGACAGAUAUUUUAGAUAAUAGUUACCUGGGAGUGCAGACGGCAUUCAGAAUGGUAAUGGUGGCUGGAAUAUAUAUGGCUAUUGGUUUGGGAAGGUGGACUUCGGGAACUAAGAUGCUUGCUGGUAUAAUAAUGCAGUAAAAGAAGAAAGUGACCCAAUGUGCUAUUAUUUUCCUCACAAAGAAGAAUGCAUAAAUGACAUGAAAUUUCUUCCAAAAGGUCACUCUCUGCAUAAUAUAACAAAGGUAUUACAUGAGUUUCCUUUGAAAAGAGUUCCUGAAUAGGUUUAAGAAAUACGAUAUUAAUUUCCUCACCUCACAGAAGAUGAUUUCCUUGGUCAUUUUCCUGAAUAAGUUUGCUGGGCCACAUGACCAACGAUGUUGUUGAUACCGGUAAGCCUUGAAGGUGCUUGGAAGUUCGUUUUUGACCUAUAUAGAGAAAAAUAUGGUUUCUUGGUUUACUGAAGAACUCCAAUAAAUUGCAACAAAUUGUGAAAUUAAAGGAUGGCCAAAAAAACUUACUGAUAAGUCCCCUACGAAGACAAAUUUCCAACCUUUAAGGCUAGCCCUGACUGCAAGAUCCAUAUCUUCCACUGUGGUUCGAUCUUUCCAUCCACCAGCAUCAUUCACUGCUUGGAUCCGCCAAACACCAGCUGUCCCUACAAUUUUAUUCAUGAAAAUUCUUUCAGUAUUAUUUUUUUGGAAUGGUUUCUUACUAUCCACCUGAGGAAUGAUUCGUAUGGUAGUAAAGUUCUAGUUUAUUUUACCAUUGAAUCCAAAGAAGGAACAUGUUGAGGAGCCAACUUCUUGUUCAACACUAAAGUGAUAGUCUAGUGACAUCUCUUGGAGACGGGUCAUCAGGCAUUCAUCCGCAUUAACUACAAAGUUCACAGAAAGCAAUUAAUCUGAAGAUGAGUGGAUAACAAAUAUGGCUAAUUAUUUGUGUGCAUUUGGCUUGUUUAUUAUUUUGGAUUGGACACAUGCAUGGAUGAACUAAAAAAGUUAUACUAGUUGAUAAUAGAAUAAAAUUGCUUUGAUGGGCCAUCAACUACCAGGUGCUCAUGCAGUUGGAGAUUGGAUUACUGUUAGCCUUACCAAAUUUCCAUCUGGCCUGAACCAAAGCCAACUCUGGAUUCUCAAGAAGAUAAGGUAUUGUCCUCCAAAGAAAAUCUUCAUCAGGUUGGAAGUCUGCAUCAAAAAUUACCACGAAUUCACAAUCUUUCACAUAUUGUUUCUGCAGACCCUCACGUAGGGCACCGGCCUUGUAUCCAUGCCUGUUAUUCCUUGUCUCAUACUUGACAUUCACUCCCUUUUCUAUCCAUUUCUGGCACUCCAGUUCUACCAAAGCCUGCACAUACAAGCAAAUGAAAUCAAUGCAAAUUUCCAAGUGUAAUAGACUUUGAUUGGAGGUUCUGUUAGGCAAAAGGAGAUACCCUCAGGACUUCGUUGGUGGAAUCAUCAAGCACCUGAACAAUGAAACGAUCUGAUGGCCAUGAAAGUCCACAUACAGCUCCAAUUGAAAGCUUGUAAACCUAAAAAGAAGUAACUGGGGAUUACUUGAAAUUGCUUAUAAGUUUAGCCGUAAAAGUCUCUAGAUAGUCAUACUUAGGAACUGUAAUACAUCCUGUCUGCCUGGUUAUGGUUGGAGGAUUUAUGUGUAUGGGUAUGUAGUUUCUUUUAUAAAAGAGCUACAUCACCCAAGUUUGUAAUGAUGGCGCUAAAGUUGUUAGAACACAACAUAAUACGACGUAACAAUACAGUUAAAAAUUAGCCAGAUUAGGCCAACCACAUGCUUAUUUGUGUUUUAUCAGAAAAGAGGGUAAUUAUGGCAUCUGAUGAAUAUUCAUUACCCAUUUGCAUUUUGCUGCCUUUGUUCAUUUCCUCAGAUGAUGCUUGUAGAUGGUUAUGUCAUGAAAUGUCAACUAGGCAUUUUGUGCUGUGUUUGCAUUUAUAAGGUAGUAGAGGAUGAUAUCAGAGUUAGAGUUGUGGUCUAUUACUAAAUUGAGAAAUGUCACAAUUCCAAGGCAUGUGCAAUAUGGACAUGUAUUGCUUCUGUUACUUGUGUGUUCUUUAACUCCCUAAUAUUUGAACAUAUAAGCAUCUUGAUUCAUGAACAUAGUUGUAAAUUUUCAUGCCAUAGAACUGCAAACAAUCUUUCUAAACCGAUAUCUUGCUGUAUGAACAUUUUAUAACUAAAAGAUAAUGAUAACAACAUAAUUAUUACUGUUGAUGAAGCAAUGCUAGAAAUGCACUUCAGGACAAAUUUUGACUAUAUUCACCCACAGAUUUUUCUCAGCAAAAAUUGGAACAGCUGAGAUAAAUUGUUAAAAUCAUUGUCUUUUUUAUUACCUCACAUGUUGCUACAACUUUAACAAGCUCAUGAACCAAAUCCGUAUAAAUACUGGGAUACUUUCCUCACUGAGCUUCAGAGCUAACAUAAUAUAUUAUAAAUCAGGUAACUAUCAGUAAUUAUGUACGUACCCAGAAAAAAAACUAAAUAAAUUGGCUCAGAAAAAAUAUCCAUUCCUGAAUCCAGAAAGAAUUUAAUUAUUGUUGAUUGUUGAACACUGGAAAAUCUUUUUCCUUUUCCAUUUUGCAAUGAACUUUUAUAACAUACCAUGAAUAGGAAAAUAACAAGCCAAAAACUCUUUCAAUUUAAAUGUGUGCGAUACUUGUGGAUUGAGUGCAUUGAAUACGCAGAUUACUUUUAGAAAACAGUGGAGUGAAGUUCAGUUUGUAUACCUCCCUUUCAUUGAACAUAGGUAUUUGAAUCAACACCAUAGGAUAGCUUCUGUUGUGCUCUAUAUCCUCUUUCAGGGCUUCCAGCUUGUACCUGGUAUAUCUUUUCUUCCCCAGCAGCUUGACACACAGGAUUACGAAGGCCAUAUAAACACGUUCAACAAAAAGCAUAAUUGACAUGCUCGCGCAUAUGUAAAUUGCAACUGUUAGGAGCGGCACAACGACUGGAACUCUGAUGCGCUGCCAAGCAGAGCUGAGACUGGCUGUAACAUCAUCUAUCACUCCCAUCUCGGGCUCUUGAAGCACUAAAUUUCUCAUGGUCACAGGUUUAUGAUAGGGAGAAAGAAGACCGAAAUUUAGAGCUCAGAAAGAUAUAGUGAAUUACUUGAGAGAUGAGGCAACAGAUUGAUACUGGAAGCGCAUCAAGAUGUUGCAGUGCGUUUGGAGAGUACUGCUUUAAAUAGAAAUUGGCAAAAUGAAGGUGAAGAUAAAGAUGCAUUUUCGGCUUAGGUGGAAGAGUUCAGUACGUUUAGUAGAGUGAUGCAAUAAAGGUUUUAAUAGUGGGAGACACCCGGUCUACAUGCAAGUGAAGAUACUGCAACGUAUCACCUUGCUAGCUGGACUUCUGGCCUUUCCUGCCGACAAUGCGAAUGAGAUAUUUGAAGUCAGUUGGCGUUGGAAUUUUAUCUCAUUCCUCGCUACAGGGUUGCAUUAGGAAGGGCAUUUGGCGGAAAAUUUUAUCGCAUUGUUCUUUUGCAUGGAUUUGAAUUGUCAAUAUAACUUUUAGAAGUCAAUUGACAUUGGAAUGCCAUGGCACCGACCCCAACGUUAGUAUAAGGUGCAAUUGAUGACAAUAAUGACUUAAAGGCCUACAUGUUCUAUUUAGUUAAUCCUGAAUUUUUCUUUUCAUUUUCCUUGAAUUAUAACCAAGUAGAUAAAAAUAUUUGAGCUUUAAUUAAUGGCUGUUCUCAUCAUUUUUGUUUCUUUUGAAGCCUUUGUUGUAUGAUUUGAAAAAAUUAAAUGGAUAGAUUGAAUAAUUUAGAUAUGGGUUUAAAUUGCAAAGUAGACAAUGGAAACCUUAAUGAGCAAGUUGAGUCUAUAAUGCUUGAUUGUGUUGACAAAAACCAAUUAUGGUUAAUUUAACUACAAUGGUCUGAAAUACCAAAGAGCGCAUCAAAUAAAGAAAUGCAUUCAUCAGAAUUUUUCCAAGGUGCUGGUGCAAAAUAUCUUAUGUGCAUUUAAGCCAAUUGUUGGCAAUAAGGUUUAACACCUUAUUUAAGCUGUUGGUUUCCUCAAGAAAUUUAUUUGCUGUUGGAAGCUAUGGAGCCUAUGAUUAACGCGGAAUCUGCAAUUGGUGCCGCCACAAUCUACUGUUUAAGGUUAUUCUUUUGGAGUGAAUUGAAAUGCUAUAAUUGUGAGUAGAAUUUUAGGAAUUGACGUAAGUGCUUGAUUCUGUAGCCACUUUGUUAGUUUGAGCCUCUUUGUGAGUUUUGGAGGAAUAUUUUAGAAUCUAGUGGUUUUAAGUUAAGUAAAUUGAAAAUCAACUACAUGAAAUGCAAGUUUAUUAAAAUUUAGAUGUGGAUAAUGUUAUUGUGAAACUUGGAAAUCAAGUCAUUCUAAGAAAAACUAGUCCAAGAUCUAGAUACAGUGGAUCAGUCAUCCAAAAAGAUGGAGAGAUUGAUGUGGAUAUUACCCAUAGAAUUAAGGUGAGAUGGUUAAAUUUUGAUGUUUUAUGUGUUAGUAAGAUUUAGUUAUAGCUAAAAAGAAAAAUUUUAUAAGACAAACAAGACCAUCUUUGUUGUAUGGCACAAAAUAUUGGACAGUGAAGCGCUAAUACGUGCAAAGUAUGAGUUUAAUGGAGAUGGGAAUGUUGUAAUAGAUGUGUGACUAUACAAAAAAAAGAAAGAAAAAAAAUUAAAAAUAAGGUUAUUAUUUGUAAUAAGGUUGGAGUACCUUCUAAUGAAGAUAAGAUGGUUAGAUAGAAUUAAGAUAGUUUGGUUAUGUGACAACAAGUCUAGUAGUUAUAAAGGUUGGAAUGGAAUGGAGAAGAAGAAGAUUGGAUGGAAUGGAACAAGUCUUUUAGCAAAGGAGGUAGAGGAAGAUCAAGAAAAACUUGGUGGGAGACUUUUAGGUAUGAUAUGAGUGAUAAGAGCUUUCCAAAAGAUAUGGCUUUGGAUAGAAAUGAUUGGCAAUAAUUCAUGUAGCUGACUGACUAAGUGAGAUUAAUGCAUGAUAUAUUGUUGUUGUUUUUAGAGUUAAAAGGGCCUUAUAGAAAGACCAUAGAUAGAAAUGAUUGAUGAGUAAGAACUCAUGUGGCAGAGUAGGAUUAGCACUUCAUUUGUUGUUGUUAUUAUGAGUUGCAUGUUUCUAUUUCUUAUUUAGUUAUUGGCUGAUUCAGAAAAUGUUAUGAAAAAUAGCACAAGUACAUUGCACCUUAUGUGGCUCACAUUCUUCCAAUUCUUUUAAACUUGUUCAAGUAUGGUUCGGAUGUACUUAUCCUAUUCUUUUGCUUCUAUAAUUACAUGUUAAUUGACAGUUUGAAGUGACUAAUGUCUCAGAUUUUUUAAGAAAAAAAAAAAAAAAGGUGCACGUGGCAUCUAGCUGAAAAAAAGGUACAAAUGGUACCUUGUGUCGCUAUUCCUGCUCUUUCAUAGUUUACCAUGUUUAAAUAGAUAACAGUGAAGAUUUGGCUAAUUCCUGUCUGUUAACAUGGUAACUUGUGAUUACAAUGCAAAUUUGGAUGUAUUUCACCAUAUUGGCAUUAACAGAGUGCUGUUAGUUCUGCCUGAUUGAUAGCUGCCAAAAGGUUUCUACCAUUAAAUUCAAGGAAUCUGGUCUACUGGAAUGUAUCAGAAGAUAAGAAGCUCAUUCUGACAGUUACGAAGACCUUAUGUAGUUAUUUAAAUGUUCUGGUUGAUGUUAAAUAGAGUAUUCUCUGUUCCUGAGUUCUGUUACUCUGAUAUGAAACGAGUCUAUUUUGAUUUGUGAGUUAUGUAUGCACUCUGAUAUUCGAUAACAAACUAUUAUACAUGAGUCUCUUUGGCUUAUUUUCCUUAGAUAUCAUCUAAUGCUUGUCAAUAGAAAUUUUGUUGACAAACCUUUUUGCCGCCUUUUUUUUUUUUCUCCCUGAAAAGACAAGUGAUUGUCGAUCAUAAACUCUAAUUCUCUUGGAUGUGAACUGUGGAAAAUAUUUUGCAUGAUAGCUGGACUCGAUACAAUAACUUUUUGUGCCAGUUUACAAACUCUUUGAGGGGGCUUAAUCCCGGUAAUCCUGCGGUCUUCAUCCCUGGUACACCUUUAAUACCUUUUUAUCAUUUUGCUUUUCCUCUCUUGGCUCCUUAGUAUUUUGGAAACGGCCCCUUUACAAAAAUAUAAGGGGAAAGAGUGUGUACAAAUGUAAUGUGAUUCUCUCUUUUUAACACUCGACUCUGGCAAGGUUGAAAGACUCGAUGCCCUUUUUAUACAUGGAUGAUUGCUCAGCUGCACUCGAAUUUGUAAAAUUCAUUCAACAAUUCAGGGGCUUAUUAGCUGCGCUGGGUUGGGCUUGAUUUUAACCCAUUGAGUUAGAGGGUUGGGUGGUUGAUAUUUCAAUUAUGUUGACUGGUACUUGUUAUAAAGAGAGCAAAUGUUGAGGCCUCCAAGGAAAGCUACUCAAUGGGUUUGAGCAAAUAUUGGAGCAAAUGUUCUAAAGUUUACGAAUUUGAG